Molecule: long non-coding RNA, 461 nt
Filed under: Macaca mulatta (Rhesus monkey)
Lineage: Eukaryota; Metazoa; Chordata; Mammalia; Primates; Cercopithecidae
Description: lncRNA (ENSMMUG00000063396.1)
Source: RNAcentral
AUGCUUUUUUCAGUCCAUUAUCUACAACCGACAUCAGUUUCUAAGCUGCCCUUAUUCAGACACACUGGUGCCACCUUGCUAAGCAACCAAGCCCAGACAAGGCUCAAAUGCACUGCUGCAACUUCUGUGUCGUGGGCCCUUCCUGUCCCAUGUUUCCCAAGGAAAGACAAGUCUUCCUUUCCUGGAUACAGAUCUGAGGAUUGUGGUUUCUUAUUAAAUAUCAUUUAUUUUUAUGCCAUCCAUAUAACUAUCCUUCAAAUAAAGGAGAAAUGCUAACCCAUAGGCAUCAAAGUGUCAUCAUCCUUUUCUUCAUUUUAUUCUUUUCUUUUUUUUUUUUUUUUUUUUUUUGAGACAGAGUCUUGCUCUGUCACCUAGGCUGGACUGCAGUGGCACAAUCUCGGCUCACUGCACCCUCUGCCCCCCCGGUUCAAGCAAUUCUCCUACCUCAGCCUCUUGAGUAG